AGAGUUUGAUCCUGGCUCAGAACGAACGCUGGCAGCGUGGAUUAGGCAUGCAAGUCGAACGGGAUCAGGCGUGGUAGCAAUACUAUGUUUGUGAGAGUGGCGGAAGGGCGAGGAAGGCAUGGACAACCUGUCUUCAGGGUGGGGAUAACCCCGCGAAAGCGGGGCUAAUACCGAAUGUGGCGUAUGGGGCGCAUGCUCUAUGCGUUAAAGGUGGGGAUCGCAAGACCUGCCCCCUGAUGAGGGGUCCGUGUGCCAUCAGCUUGUUGGUGGGGUAACGGCCUACCAAGGCAUACGGCUAGCUGGUCUGAGAGGAUGAUCAGCCGCACUGGGACUGAGACACUGCCCAGACUCCUACGGGGGGCUACAGUCGAGGAUCAUUCGCAAUGGGGGGAACCCUGACGAUGCGACGCUGCGUGGAGGAUGACGGCCUUCGGGUUGUAAACUCCUGUCAUGGGGGAAGAGCUAUGGGGGGUUAAUAGCCUCUCUGAUGGACGGUACCCCAAGAGGAAGCCACGGCUAACUCUGUGCCAGCAGCCGCGGUAAUACAGAGGUGGCGAGCGUUGUUCGGAUUUACUGGGCGUAAAGGGCGCGUAGGCGGCGCAGUGUGUCAGGUGUGAAAUCCAUGGGCUCAACCCAUGAAGUGCGCCUGAAACUGCUGUGCUUGAGUGCGGGAGGGGAGACUGGAAUACAGGGUGUAGCGGUGAAAUGCGUUGAUAUCCUGUAGAACACCGGUGGCGAAGGCGGGUCUCUGGAACGCAACUGACGCUGAGGCGCGAAAGCGGGGGGAGCAAACAGGAUUAGAUACCCUGGUAGUCCCCGCCCUAAACGUUGCACACUUGAGGUAGGGGGAUUUCACCCCCUCUGUCUCGGAGCUAACGCGUUAAGUGUGCCGCCUGGGGAGUACGGCCGCAAGGCUAAAACUCAAAGAAAUUGACGGGGACCCGCACAAGCAGAGGAGCAUGUGGCUUAAUUCGAUGCAACGCGAAGAACCUUACCCGGGUUUGACAUGUAACUGCUACUCCCAUGAAAGUGGGAUUCCUUCGAGGGUGUUACACAGGUGCUGCAUGGCUGUCGUCAGUUCGUGCCGUGAGGUGUUUGGUUAAGUCCAGCAACGAACGCAACCCCUGUGUCCAGUUGCCAUCAGGUAGUGCUGGGAACUCUGGACAGACUGCCCGUUUACGCGGGAGGAAGGUGGGGACGACGUCAAGUCAGUAUGGCCCUUACAUCCGGGGCUGCACACGUGCUACAAUGGCCGGUACAAUGGGAAGCUUGGCUGCGAGGCCUGGCCAACCCCCAAAACCGGCCCCAGUUCAGAUCGGGGUCUGCAACCCGACCCCGUGAAGUCGGAUUUGCUAGUAACGGCGCAUCAGCUACGGCGCCGUGAAUACGUUCCUCGGGUCUUGCACUCACCGCCCGUCAAG
This 1421-nucleotide ribosomal RNA is filed under the name uncultured bacterium. Its description in RNAcentral is "bacterial SSU rRNA". It matches the Rfam family "Bacterial small subunit ribosomal RNA". The record is from RNAcentral.